Molecule: long non-coding RNA, 1327 nt
Filed under: Sus scrofa (pig)
Lineage: Eukaryota; Metazoa; Chordata; Mammalia; Artiodactyla; Suidae
Description: lncRNA (ENSSSCG00060073916.1)
Source: RNAcentral
AUGGCCACAAGGAGGAAGCUCUCCAGGUCUCCAAAAAAAAAAGAAGAAAUACAUUUGGGUCAGGCAGCCAGCAUAGGGGAUGGAUGGGUCUUGGCUCUGCAUAUUCUGAAGCAAUUUGGGCACGGUGACAGAGGAAAAGCAGAGGUCAGAGAAAGACAAAUUGCUGAGGAAAAAAUACAUGGGCGUGUGGAGGUGGGCGUCCAGGCAAAUGAGAACCAUGAUGAGGAGGUUCCCCAGGACGGUGCUAAGAUACAUGGCCAGGAACAGAGCACAGAACAGGCUUCGAUGCUCCGCCUCAAUGGGCAGUCCCAGCAGGAGGAACUCUGAAACAACCGUUUGAUUUCUUCCUGUCAUGCUCUUUCUCCAAGGUCCUCAAGAGGAAAGGACAGUGUCCAUGAAAACCUGAAGUUAAAAAUGAACAUCAGUAUACGAUCCAUGGUCUGCUACAUGCUCUGCAAAAAUACCUUAGCUCACGCUCACCCCAAUAAUGACCAUCUCUAUACUAUUUCAAAUCUCCACAAACAGAAUCCCUAUGAGGGGAACUGACGCUCUUACUUCACUUCCCUUCAACAUGAAACAACAUUCCAACUUGCCAAAAACACUCAUUUCGUUUUUUCCUGCUUGGCCGCCCUCAUGGCACAGCGAAGUUCCCCCAGACCAGGGGUCGAACCCGAAACAAAGCUGUGACCUAUGCCACAGCUGCAGCAACACACCCUGGAUCCCGAACUCACUGCACUGGGCCAGGAUCGACCCCAUGCCAGUUCAGAUACAACGCUGGACUCUCCCCCACCGCACGACAGCACAAACACCCUAAAACUCUCUUAUUUAUCCCUUAGAUUCUGAGACACAGCGUAUACUGGUUUUCCUCAAACCUGCCUGGCCAGACAUCGUGAAUAACUACAACUGGCUUCUCUUUGGUUCACAGCUUCAAGUUGACGGAUGUCCUAGGACCUUUACCCACAGGCGGUUCUCCUCUAAUUCCAUGUACCUUCCAGGAAACCUCACCUACUCCAAUGGCUUUAGACAUCCAUUUAGGUGUCUCGCUAACCUAGUCAAAAAAUACUCAACUGCUUCAUGAUUAGCUUUCUCCGACGGCAUCACAUGCAUUUUCAACUAAACGGAUUCCAAAAGAAACACAUCAUCCCCUGUGCCCUUCUCCCAACUCCCUCCUCCUCUCAUCUCCGCAGCUCAGAAAAAGAGUUUCACAGGCUCCAGAUGAAACCAUGACAGUUUUCUUUCAUUCCCUCCUCUCUCUCAUCAACAUCCUUAGAUCCUCAGAUCAGCCUACCUAGCAUCACAUCUUGUCUGGACUGUUGGAACCAGCUCU